GACGAACGCUGGCGGCGUGCUUAACACAUGCAAGUCGAACGGGCCUGCCUUCUUUUUUGGGGGGUGGGUUGAGUGGCGAACGGGUGAGUAUCACGUGAGUAACCUGCCCUUCGGUCCUGGAUAACCGCUUGAAAGGGCGGCUAAUACGGGGUGGUCCGGUUGGUCCGCAUGGGCUGGUCGGGAUAGAUUCACUGUUUUUGGUGUUUCGGCGGGGGAUGGGCUCGCGGCCUAUCAGCUUGUUGGUGGGGUGAUGGCCUACCAAGGCGGUGACGGGUAGCCGGCCGGAGGGGGUGGGCGGCCACACUGGGACUGAGGUGCGGCCCAGACUCCUGCGGGAGGCAGCAGUGGGGGGUAUUGCACAAUGGGCGGAAGCCUGAUGCAGCGACGUCGGGUGAGGGAUGGAGGCCUUCGGGUUGUGAACCUCUGUUUCCGGUGGUGAAGGCCCUGUCCGUGUGGUGGGGUUGACGGUAGCCGGGGAUGAAGCGCCGGCUAACUACGUG
Molecule: ribosomal RNA, 500 nt
Filed under: uncultured bacterium
Lineage: Bacteria
Description: partial 16S ribosomal RNA
Rfam family: Bacterial small subunit ribosomal RNA
Source: RNAcentral